UCGACGAGUUGCGGGCUGUUGAAGUGGACGUGAAUAUCGAGCGCACCGGCCGUCGCGAUCAGCCCGUCAGCCGGAAUGGUAUCGGUGCUCGCGCCGAUGACCAUAUCCACGUCGUCCAUCGUAUCGGGAUUGCCGGCCUUGCCGACGCCGACGAUCUCGCCGUUUCGAACGCCAAUGUCACCCUUUCGUACGCCGAGGACGGGGUCAAUGAUGACGACGUUCGUAAACACCCAGUCGAGGGUGCCCUCGGCCUGUGUCGUGCCCGA
Molecule: small RNA, 266 nt
Filed under: Natronolimnobius baerhuensis
Lineage: Archaea; Methanobacteriati; Methanobacteriota; Halobacteria; Halobacteriales; Natrialbaceae
Description: 5' ureB small RNA
Rfam family: 5' ureB small RNA
Source: Rfam by way of RNAcentral